UUGCCCACUUUUAGACUGUUCUUCAAGUGGCCAUCACAGAGGGGCAUAUUAAAUGCUCUAUAAAACUCAUGUAAGGUGUGUGUCUUUACUUUGAAUCCUGUCUGGAGCAAUAACA
Small nucleolar RNA from Bombina bombina (fire-bellied toad), 115 nucleotides. RefSeq annotates it as small nucleolar RNA SNORA26. NCBI's taxonomy places the organism in Eukaryota, Metazoa, Chordata, Amphibia, Anura, Bombinatoridae. The transcript has a single exon. The record is from RefSeq and is a predicted model, not a curated record.